GUUUAAUGUUAGGGAUAAGUGUUUUACGAAAACUAGGAACAGUCUUGAGCCUUCAUUUUAAUCAGGAAGUUAAAUAUUUUAUUUCCCUGUAAGUUGGGACUACUCUGCAACAAUAGUGGACUGGUUUUAAUUUCUGACUCAGGAACCCUCCUGAGUUUGCAUGAUCUGGAGCAGGAGGGUGUAGAAAAGAAGCUGAUCACUGUCCUCAGCCCAGAGUUUUGUUGUUGCUGUGGAAUGGCUUUCACCUUGCACAUUUGAAAUCCACUAACUAGAUUGAAAACACAAAGCCUCUAUGGCAAAUAUAAAUUGACACAAUGCCACUGAAGCCAGUAGAGUCUGGUUAUUUUACACUGGGUGUUCUUUCAGAAGCAGACACAGCAGACAGGGAGAGAUGAAUUUCUAAAUUAAUAACAGCUUUGGAAAACUUCCGUAAAGAGACUGUGACACACUGCCAGCAUCAUUAUGCUUGGGUCCUACCUAAAGAGAAAAAAACCAUUGGGAUGCGAUGUGUCUUGGAAAGAAUGCAGAGUCUACUCUGAGGAGCUUGCAGUACUGAGAUCUACUCCCGCACUAGGGCAUGUUUAUUCAUCAAAUGGAGAAACAAUCCCAGUGUCAGAGAUAUUAUCUGCAUUAGUCAUCAGUAC
Oxyura jamaicensis (ruddy duck) is the source of this 644-nucleotide long non-coding RNA. RefSeq lists it as uncharacterized. NCBI's taxonomy places the organism in Eukaryota, Metazoa, Chordata, Aves, Anseriformes, Anatidae. The record is from RefSeq and is a predicted model, not a curated record. The transcript has 5 exons.